GAUGAACGCUGACAGAAUGCUUAACACAUGCAAGUCUUUGGCGAAGCUGUGCUUGCACAGCCUAGCCAAGGCGGACGGGUGAGUAACGCGUAAGGAACUUGCCCUGCAGUCAGGGAUAACAGACGGAAACGACUGAUAAGACCUGGUAAAGUCAGGCGGACUCAUGUCCAGCCUGAUGAAAAGAGAUGCUGCAGGAGAGCCUUGCGUCCUAUUAGCUUGUUGGUGGGGUAACGGCCCACCAAGGCGAUGAUAGGUAGCCGGCCUGAGAGGGUGGACGGCCACAAGGGGAAUGAGAUACGGCCCUUACUCCUACGGGAGGCAGCAGUGGGGAAUAUUGGACAAUGGGGGCAACCCUGAUCCAGCAAUUCUGUGUGCACGAUGAAGGUUUUCGGAUUGUAAAGUGCUUUCAGCAGGGAAGAAAAAAUGACGGUACCUGCAGAAGAAGCGACGGCUAAAUACGUG
RNAcentral lists this ribosomal RNA (462 nucleotides) under uncultured bacterium. RNAcentral's name for it is "partial 16S ribosomal RNA". It matches the Rfam family "Bacterial small subunit ribosomal RNA", at positions 28 to 507 of the family's 1533-position model. The record is from RNAcentral.